This 72-nucleotide small nucleolar RNA is filed under the name Larimichthys crocea (large yellow croaker). Its description in RNAcentral is "Small nucleolar RNA SNORD24 (ENSLCRG00005003000.1)". It matches the Rfam family "Small nucleolar RNA SNORD24". From Rfam's summary of the family: U24 is a member of the C/D class of snoRNA which contain the C (UGAUGA) and D (CUGA) box motifs. The record is from RNAcentral. Lineage: Eukaryota; Metazoa; Chordata; Actinopteri; Sciaenidae.
UGUAAAAAUGAUGUAAAAGAAUAUUUGCUAACUGAACAGCCGUGCUGACAUCCCACCAAGAUCACUGAUGCA